This 443-nucleotide ribosomal RNA is filed under the name uncultured bacterium. RNAcentral's name for it is "partial 16S ribosomal RNA". It matches the Rfam family "Bacterial small subunit ribosomal RNA", at positions 338 to 795 of the family's 1533-position model. The record is from RNAcentral.
GCUACGGGCGGCAGCAGUGGGGAAUAUUGCACAAUGGGCGAAAGCCUGAUGCAGCAACGCCGCGUGAAGGAAGAAGGGUUUCGGCUCGUAAACGUCUAUCAACAGGGACGAAAGAAAUGACGGUAACGGAAUAAGAAGCCGCGGCUAACGACGGGGCAGCAGCCGCGGGAAUACGUGGGGGGCAAGCGUUAGACGGAAUUACUGGGUGUAAAGGGUGAGGAGGCGGCCUGGUAAGCCAGAUGUGAAAGCCUUGGGCUUCACCCGAGGAUUGCAUUUGGAACUCUCAAGCUAGAGUACAGGAGAGGCAAUCGGAUUUCCUAGUGUAGCGGUGAAAUGCGUAGAUAUUAGGAAGAACACCAGUGGCGAAGGCGGCUUUCUGGACUGAAACUGACGCUGAGGCACGAAAGCGUGGGGAGCGAACAGGAUUAGAUACCCCAGUAGUC